RNAcentral lists this non-coding RNA (28 nucleotides) under Mus musculus (house mouse). The record is from RNAcentral. Lineage: Eukaryota; Metazoa; Chordata; Mammalia; Rodentia; Muridae.
UAUUUUUUCCUGGAAUAUGUGCCACUUU